CACUCCUACGGGAGGCGGCAGUGGGGAAUAUUGCACAAUGGGCGCAAGCCUGAUGCAGCCAUGCCGCGUGUAUGAAGAAGGCCUUCGGGUUGUAAAGUACUUUCAGCGGGGAGGAAGGCGAUAAGGUUAAUAACCUUGUCGAUUGACGUUACCCGCAGAAGAAGCACCGGCUAACUCCGUGCCAGCAGCCGCGGUAAUACGGAGGGUGCAAGCGUUAAUCGGAAUUACUGGGCGUAAAGCGCACGCAGGCGGUCUGUCAAGUCGGAUGUGAAAUCCCCGGGCUCAACCUGGGAACUGCAUUCGAAACUGGCAGGCUAGAGUCUUGUAGAGGGGGGUAGAAUUCCAGGUGUAGCGGUGAAAUGCGUAGAGAUCUGGAGGAAUACCGGUGGCGAAGGCGGCCCCCUGGACAAAGACUGACGCUCAGGUGCGAAAGCGUGGGGAGCAAACAGGAUUAGAAACCCUGGUAGUCCCAUGA
Molecule: ribosomal RNA, 475 nt
Filed under: uncultured organism
Description: partial 16S ribosomal RNA
Rfam family: Bacterial small subunit ribosomal RNA
Source: RNAcentral